Molecule: ribosomal RNA, 665 nt
Filed under: uncultured Alteromonas sp.
Lineage: Bacteria; Pseudomonadati; Pseudomonadota; Gammaproteobacteria; Alteromonadales; Alteromonadaceae
Description: bacterial SSU rRNA
Rfam family: Bacterial small subunit ribosomal RNA
Source: RNAcentral
AGUCGAACGGUAACAGGAUGUGCUUGCACAUCGCUGACGAGUGGCGGACGGGUGAGUAAUGCUUGGGAACUUGCCUUUGCGAGGGGGAUAACAGUUGGAAACGACUGCUAAUACCGCAUAAUGUCUUCGGACCAAACGGGGCUUCGGCUCCGGCGCAAAGAGAGGCCCAAGUGAGAUUAGCUAGUUGGUAAGGUAACGGCUUACCAAGGCGACGAUCUCUAGCUGUUCUGAGAGGAAGAUCAGCCACACUGGGACUGAGACACGGCCCAGACUCCUACGGGAGGCAGCAGUGGGGAAUAUUGCACAAUGGGGGAAACCCUGAUGCAGCCAUGCCGCGUGUGUGAAGAAGGCCUUCGGGUUGUAAAGCACUUUCAGUUGUGAGGAAAAGUUAGUAGUUAAUACCUGCUAGCCGUGACGUUAACAACAGAAGAAGCACCGGCUAACUCCGUGCCAGCAGCCGCGGUAAUACGGAGGGUGCGAGCGUUAAUCGGAAUUACUGGGCGUAAAGCGCACGCAGGCGGUUUGUUAAGCUAGAUGUGAAAGCCCCGGGCUCAACCUGGGAUGGUCAUUUAGAACUGGCAGACUAGAGUCUUGGAGAGGGGAGUGGAAUUCCAGGUGUAGCGGUGAAAUGCGUAGAUAUCUGGAGGAACAUCAGUGGCGAAGAC